Molecule: ribosomal RNA, 240 nt
Filed under: Triticum aestivum (bread wheat)
Lineage: Eukaryota; Viridiplantae; Streptophyta; Magnoliopsida; Poales; Poaceae
Description: partial small subunit ribosomal RNA
Rfam family: Eukaryotic large subunit ribosomal RNA
Source: RNAcentral
UCAAAUCUCCAAGGUGAACACCCUCUGACCAAUGAAACAAUGUAGGCAAGGGAAGUCGGCAAAACGGAUCCGUAACUUCGGGAAAAUGAUUGGCUCUGAGGACUGGGCUCGGGGGUCCCGGCCCCGAACCCGUUGGCUGUCGGCGGAUUGCUCGAGCUGCUCACGCGGCGAGAGCGGGUCGCCGCGUGCCGAUGGGGGGACGGAUCGGGAAUCGCCCCUUCGGGGGCUUUCCCCGAGCAU